Molecule: long non-coding RNA, 117 nt
Organism: Neopsephotus bourkii (Bourke's parrot)
Lineage: Eukaryota; Metazoa; Chordata; Aves; Psittaciformes; Psittacidae
Exons: 2
Source: RefSeq, a predicted model, not a curated record
AGGGACUCUUCAUCAGGGACUGUAGUGAUAGGACAAGGGGGUAAUGGGUUUAAACUUAAACAGGGGAAGUUUAGAUUGGAUAUAAGGAGGAAAUUCUUUCCUGUUAGGGUGGUGAGG